RNAcentral lists this ribosomal RNA (494 nucleotides) under uncultured bacterium. RNAcentral describes it as "partial 16S ribosomal RNA". It matches the Rfam family "Bacterial small subunit ribosomal RNA", at positions 28 to 507 of the family's 1533-position model. The record is from RNAcentral.
GACGAACGCUGGCGGCGUGCUUAACACAUGCAAGUCGAACGGUGAAGCGCCUUCCUUUUUGGUGGGUGUGGAUGAGUGGCGAACGGGUGAGUAACACGUGAGUAACCUGCCCCCUUCUUCUGGAUAACCGCAUGAAAGUGUGGCUAAUACGGGAUAUUCUGGGUCUGUCGCAUGAUGGGUCUGGGAAAGAUAUUGUUUCGGUGGGGGAUGGGCUCGCGGCCUAUCAGCUUGUUGGUGGGGUGAUGGCCUACCAAGGCGGUGACGGGUAGCCGGCCUGAGAGGGGGGGCGGGCACCCUGGGGCUGAGACCCGCCCCGGCCUCCUCCGGGAGGCAGCGGGGGGGAUUAUGGCACAUGGGCGGAAAGCUUGUUCCGGCGCCGCGGCGUGGGGGUUGGAGGCCUUCGGGUGGUGAUCCUUUUUCGCCAGUGAAGCAGGCCGGCCCGUUUUGUGGGUGGGUUGCCGGUGGCUGAAUAGGCGGCGCCGGCUACCUACGUC